CUUGAUUCUGUUGUUGUAGUGAGAGAAAGCAGUGUGGCCAUGGUUUCUGAUGGAGGAGAAUUGAGAGUAUGUGAAGCUGACGGAGCUGUUGGCGACGUGACGUUUGUGAUGGAGAUCUCGAGAUCUCUUAGUCGGAAAACGGUGUAGUAAACGUAAUCACGAACGUGAUCAGGGACAAUGAAAAGUUACAGAGAAAACAAAGAGUUUCUAUAGAGAAAACAAAUAGAUUGAGAGAAGAUAAGAGAUGGUUCCGCAGAGAAAACAAAGAAAUUGAGAGGAGAGAUGUGAGAGAUUAUUCUGACGGAGAAAACAAAGAAAUUUAGAAGAGAGAUGUGA
This 336-nucleotide long non-coding RNA is filed under the name Brassica napus (rape). RNAcentral's name for it is "long non-coding RNA (BNAP_LNC005233)". The record is from RNAcentral. Lineage: Eukaryota; Viridiplantae; Streptophyta; Magnoliopsida; Brassicales; Brassicaceae.